GGAUGAAUAGCUCAAUGGCAGAGCAAUGCCUUGUUAAGGCAAAUGUUGAAAGUUCGAAUCUUUCUUCAUCCGCAA
This 75-nucleotide transfer RNA is filed under the name Chitinophagaceae bacterium. Its description in RNAcentral is "tRNA-Asn". It matches the Rfam family "tRNA". From Rfam's summary of the family: Transfer RNA (tRNA) molecules are approximately 80 nucleotides in length. Lineage: Bacteria; Pseudomonadati; Bacteroidota; Chitinophagia; Chitinophagales; Chitinophagaceae. The record is from RNAcentral.